This 262-nucleotide ribosomal RNA is filed under the name uncultured bacterium. RNAcentral describes it as "partial 16S ribosomal RNA". It matches the Rfam family "Bacterial small subunit ribosomal RNA", at positions 793 to 1055 of the family's 1533-position model. The record is from RNAcentral.
GUCCACGCCGUAAACGAUGGGUACUAGAUAUUGGGGCUUAAGCUUCGGUGUCGUAGCUAACGCGUUAAGUACCCCGCCUGGGGAGUACGGUCGCAAGAUUAAAACUCAAAGGAAUUGACGGGGACCCGCACAAGCGGUGGAGCAUGUGGUUCAAUUCGAUGCAACGCGAAAACCUUACCACCUCUUAACAUCCUGAUUGCGGGGCCCAGAAUGGGCUCUUUCAGUUCGGCUGGAUCAGUGAUAGGUGUUGCAUGGCUGUCGU